GCUUCGGUGGUUCAGUGGUGAGAAUGCUCGCCUGCCACGCGGGCGGCCCUGGUUCGAUUCCCGGCUGAUGCA
Molecule: transfer RNA, 72 nt
Filed under: Cordylochernes scorpioides
Lineage: Eukaryota; Metazoa; Arthropoda; Arachnida; Pseudoscorpiones; Chernetidae
Description: tRNA-Gly
Rfam family: tRNA
About the family: Transfer RNA (tRNA) molecules are approximately 80 nucleotides in length. Their secondary structure includes four short double-helical elements and three loops (D, anti-codon, and T loops). Further hydrogen bonds mediate the characteristic L-shaped molecular structure. tRNAs have two regions of fundamental functional importance: the anti-codon, which is responsible for specific mRNA codon recognition, and the 3' end, to which the tRNAs corresponding amino acid is attached (by aminoacyl-tRNA synthetases). tRNAs cope with the degeneracy of the genetic code in two manners: having more than one tRNA (with a specific anti-codon) for a particular amino acid; and 'wobble' base-pairing, i.e. permitting non-standard base-pairing at the 3rd anti-codon position.
Source: RNAcentral